Diorhabda sublineata is the source of this 14030-nucleotide long non-coding RNA. RefSeq lists it as uncharacterized. The record is from RefSeq and is a predicted model, not a curated record. The transcript has 2 exons. NCBI's taxonomy places the organism in Eukaryota, Metazoa, Arthropoda, Insecta, Coleoptera, Chrysomelidae.
UUUGUAAAAAUGCAGCUUUAUUUUAUAAUAAAACAAAAAAAUGUUAACAACAGUUGAAACAUUGAAUAAUUGAUAUUAUUUCUAAUAGUUGACCAAGAGAGUAGCAAUGCGCAAUCAAAAGAGGCACUUCUCUACAAUUAUUUACAGUUUCUUAAUUUUUUUUAAAUCAACCAAUUAUAAUUAAAAUGUAUGAAUCAAAAUAUAUAAUUUUAAUCCCAUUAAUUCAGGCAAACUAUCACGUUUGUUUUUAAAGUGAAAAAUUCUUAGUGAGAUUACCAAAUCAAAUCGCUACACUAAGAAAAAUAAAUAUUUCAUCUUAAUCAUAAAACCAUCGACGUUUGGAAAAGUCAAUAUAUAAAGAAUUAAUAAACAUGGCCACGCAGUCCCAUCUUGUAGCCCUACAUCUGUGAUUCCACUUCACAAUGAACGCAACAGCCCAAUGAUCAACGAACUUCAUCUGCUAUUUGCACGACAGUUCUAGUACAGAAAUGAGACCUCACCGUUUUCCAAACCCCUUCCACCAGUACAUCAGUGAUCAACGCUGGUUGCGGCCAGAAUGGUUGUCCUCUCUUCACAAGGUCAACUUUUUGUAGUUGAGGACAUGAAGCAGAUAGAAUCCGUCGCAAUUUUGAGUGUGGCCACACCUCAGUGUCAGGGCAUCCUGAAAUUUCUUUCAAAGUUUCUACUAAUCAAAUUUUCACGCUAGCUUUUUGUUUUUUCUCUUUGGUUUAUUGCUUUUUAUACAGUCAAUUCUCAACUGAAAAUGAUGUACAUUUAAGUUUGUAGUUGUAGGGUACUGUCAAUUGUCACUUGUCAGUGAACUACCGCGUAAUUUGAAAUGGAUACAGCAUAUUGGAAUGAAAAAUCAUGUCUUUUAUACGUUUUAUAGCCUCCGGUGAAAUAAAUAUUAACACUAUGUAAUAAAACAAGUUAUUUCGGGGGAAAAUACUCAUAUUGUUCCAUUUUAUUUAUUGUCUCCUUGUGAAGCCUCUUUGAUACCUUAUUUUUCGAAGAUUUGGUAUUGGACCCUAAUUAGAAGUUUUCUUUUUGAUAUUUAUAAUUAUUAUAAUGGGAAAAACAACUAAUUAAAGUAACGUGUGCAUUUGUGCCUUUUAUAAUGAGAUUAAAUAUUGAAAUAUUUUCAUCAAUAUUAAAGUACGUUCAAGAUUCAAAUGUCUAUGUGUCAAGAACAGUAAAUAUUUCCACUUCUUUAUACAAACAAAACAUUUGUCGCCCCUAGUUUAACACAAUUAAGCUUGAAACAUUUUGACUUCAGACCUGACUGAUGCAUCAAUAAAGAAAAUAAACUCGUUAAUAUGCUUCCAGCAGCAAUUUGCUUUUGUCUCUGUGUCUUCUUUCCACCAACGAAAAAUCAGUUUGAACAAGUGUAAUGGAUCAGCAAGACUAAAACAAGACGUUGAAACGAAUCAAUUCGAAUUCAUUUUUGAAAAUGAAUCAGUCAACGCAAACUAAUGUAGACCAGGCUUUCACUGUUCCCGAACGUACCGAACUGAUGAUUAUUUUUUAAAAAACGAUGUUUUCACGUCAGUAUCACUGAAGCAACCUGACUGAUGCAUCAAUAAAGAAAAUAAAUUCGUUAAUAUGCUUCCAGCAGCCAUUUGCUUUUGUCUCUGUGUCUUCUUUCCACCAACGAAAAAUCAGUUUGAACAAGUGUAAUGAAUCAGCAAGACUAACACGAGACGUUGAAACGAAUCAAUUCGAAUUCAUUUUUGAUAAUGAAUCAGUCAACGCAAACUAAUGUAGACCAGGCUUUCACUUUCUCUGAACGUACCGAACUGAUGAUUAUUUUUUAAAAAACGAUGUUUUCACGUCAGUAUCACUGAAGCAACCUGACUGAUGCAUCAAUAAAGAAAAUAAAUUCGUUAAUAUGCUUCCAGCAGCCAUUUGCUUUUGUCUCUGUGUCUUCUUUCCACCAACGAAAAAUCAGUUUGAACAAGUGUAAUGAAUCAGCAAGACUAACACGAGACGUUGAAACGAAUCAAUUCGAAUUCAUUUUUGAUAAUGAAUCAGUCAACGCAAACUAAUGUAGACCAGGCUUUCACUUUCCCUGAACGUACCGAACUGAUGAUUAUUUUUUAAAAAACGAUGUUUUCACGUCAGUAUCACUGAAGCAACCUGACUGAUGCAUCAAUAAAGAAAAUAAAUUCGUUAAUAUGCUUCCAGCAGCCAUUUGCUUUUGUCUCUGUGUCUUCUUUCCACCAACGAAAAAUCAGUUUGAACAAGUGUAAUGAAUCAGCAAGACUAACACGAGACGUUGAAACGAAUCAAUUCGAAUUCAUUUUUGAUAAUGAAUCAGUCAACGCAAACUAAUGUAGACCAGGCUUUCACUUUCCCUGAACGUACCGAACUGAUGAUUAUUUUUUAAAAAACGAUGUUUUCACGUCAGUAUCACUGAAGCAACCUGACUGAUGCAUCAAUAAAGAAAAUAAAUUCGUUAAUAUGCUUCCAGCAGCCAUUUGCUUUUGUCUCUGUGUCUUCUUUCCACCAACGAAAAAUCAGUUUGAACAAGUGUAAUGAAUCAGCAAGACUAACACGAGACGUUGAAACGAAUCAAUUCGAAUUCAUUUUUGAUAAUGAAUCAGUCAACGCAAACUAAUGUAGACCAGGCUUUCACUUUCCCUGAACGUACCGAACUGAUGAUUAUUUUUUAAAAAACGAUGUUUUCACGUCAGUAUCACUGAAGCAACCUGACUGAUGCAUCAAUAAAGAAAAUAAAUUCGUUAAUAUGCUUCCAGCAGCCAUUUGCUUUUGUCUCUGUGUCUUCUUUCCACCAACGAAAAAUCAGUUUGAACAAGUGUAAUGAAUCAGCAAGACUAACACGAGACGUUGAAACGAAUCAAUUCGAAUUCAUUUUUGAUAAUGAAUCAGUCAACGCAAACUAAUGUAGACCAGGCUUUCACUUUCCCUGAACGUACCGAACUGAUGAUUAUUUUUUAAAAAACGAUGUUUUCACGUCAGUAUCACUGAAGCAACCUGACUGAUGCAUCAAUAAAGAAAAUAAAUUCGUUAAUAUGCUUCCAGCAGCAAUUUGCUUUUGUCUCUGUGUCUUCUUUCCACCAACGAAAAAUCAGUUUGAACAAGUGUAAUGAAUCAGCAAGACUAACACGAGACGUUGAAACGAAUCAAUUCGAAUUCAUUUUUGAUAAUGAAUCAGUCAACGCAAACUAAUGUAGACCAGGCUUUCACUUUCUCUGAACGUACCGAACUGAUGAUUAUUUUUUAAAAAACGAUGUUUUCACGUCAGUAUCACUGAAGCAACCUGACUGAUGCAUCAAUAAAGAAAAUAAAUUCGUUAAUAUGCUUCCAGCAGUCAUUUGCUUUUGUCUCUGUGUCUUCUUUCCACCAACGAAAAAUCAGUUUGAACAAGUGUAAUGAAUCAGCAAGACUAAAACAAGACGUUGAAACGAAUCAAUUCGAAUUCAUUUUUGAUAAUGAAUCAGUCAACGCAAACUAAUGUAGACCAGGCUUUCACUGUUCCCGAACGUACCGAACUGAUGAUUAUUUUUUAAAAAACGAUGUUUUCACGUCAGUAUCACUGAAGCAACCUGACUGAUGCAUCAAUAAAGAAAAUAAAUUCGUUAAUAUGCUUCCAGCAGCCAUUUGCUUUUGUCUCUGUGUCUUCUUUCCACCAACGAAAAAUCAGUUUGAACAAGUGUAAUGAAUCAGCAAGACUAAAACAAGACGUUGAAACGAAUCAAUUCGAAUUCAUUUUUGAUAAUGAAUCAGUCAACGCAAACUAAUGUAGACCAGGCUUUCACUUUCCCUGAACGUACCGAACUGAACAAUAUGACUGACUAGUAGAAACCCCGCUUAAGAUAAUAUAUUAUUCCAAUUAAGUUUAUUUAAUUACUUAUUAUAGUUUGGUAGAAUGUUUAUGAAAAGAAAAGCGAUAGGAAGCCAAUGAUGAAUCCGGAAGCAAAGAUUAGAAUAGUUACUUACUUCUAGCAACAAAAGAAAUUGAUAAAAGAAUUUACAAGGACCAGAAAAUAUUUAAAGUGAAAGUGAUUCAAACAAGUGAAAGUUAUAUCCAAAUAAUCAAAUCAUUUAACUUUUUCUUGAGACAUUUACAGACGAAUCUGUUAUGGAAUCGAUAAUGGAAAAUUAGUUAUCCGUGCUGGAAACUGUUACAAAUAUCGUUUUUGUUAAAUCAAUUAGCUUCUCUCGUUAAAGUCUACUUAAACAUACUCUAGACACGAUAACAGCAUGAGCACUUUCGGUAAAAAUAUAACAAAACUUUUCACAGAACUGCAAGAUAAUAUACUCUAUGUGAAUGUAACUAUAAUUUUACAACUAAAUUCAAGGUUCGUUUAAGACAAAUGGAAUUUUGUAAACUUGUUUCAGUGCUCGGUGUAUUAAUAUUCGGAUUUGUUGUUUUUAUACACUUAUUCGAAUAUAAAUAUUUCUCAUUUUGGAGAAUUAAAAUAUAAUUCUGUCACUUAAAAAAUAUUUAUCUUAAAGAAACCUUUUCGUUUUUCUAUAACUUUCAUAUAUUUCUUUAAAACUACAUGUCAUAUUGUAAGAAAGCAUCUCGUAAUUUAUAUUUUUUUCAGUCUAUACUAGGAUUUCAUCAUGGCGAAAAUUAAAAGAAUGAUAUAAUUGAUAUCGGUUUUUAUUUACAUUCUAAUUUCCAAAUAAUAGCGUGAAAUGUUGCAACGUGAAAAUCUACUGCUAUAAUCAUAUUGAAACUGAUAAUUAUUUUGAGCUUGUACAAUUGUAUUUGUACGAGGGUGAAUCAAAUAUAAACGAGACUUUUGGACCUGCGCGCGCAAUAGUGUUCCGCUGUUAGGUUGGUUUGUCAGGAGUGGGGGAAGCACGUGACUCAUCAUCAUAGACUCGCUCAGUGUCCAUCGUUACGAUGUCCGAGCAGGAGGUACCUCCCUCUAUUGCGCAACGUAUUGUUAUAAAGUUUUUAGCUGCAGAAGGUGUAAAACCGGCCGAAAUCUUGAGAAGAUUGACUGCACAGUUCGGGGAAAAGACGCUGUCGCGAGCUAGAGUGUUUGCUUGGCAUAAACAGUUCGUGGAGGGCCAUGAACGUAUUGAAAAUGAGAGCCAUGACCGCAGACCCCGCACCAGCAUUACAGCGGGCAACAUCGACAGUGUUCGUCAACUUGUUGAAGGUGACAGGCGUCUAACAACUUCGGAUAUUGCAAUUGCGAUAUGCAAGACUUGCAUAUCGCCGCAAAAGACGACACCUUCCAAUGAGAAAAGUGAUUCUCCUCCAUGACAAUGCUCGCCCCCAUACGGCAGCCCUGACAGUACAAAAAUUGGAGCAACUGGGUUGGGAGACACUGGAACACCCUCCAUACAGUCCAGACCUGUCUCCCUGCGACUUCCAUGUCUUUGGUCCUCUCAAGGAAGCUUUGGGAGGGCAAAAAUUCCACAGCGAUAAUGAGGUUGAGGCAUAUGUGCGCCAUUGGCUACAAACACGACCUGACUCUUUUUACCUGGAAGGAAUUAAAAAAUUACCUAUACGUUGGGAAAAAUGUGUUUCUAAAUCAGGAGAUUAUGUAGAAAAAUAAACUAUGAUUGUUUGGGCGUUUAAAAUCAAAAUAAAUAUUUUAAAAAAUAAGUCUUGUUUAUAUUUGAUUCACCCUCGUAGGUUACCUCAAACAUACCAUUGUUUUCCAUAUAAUCUAUAUAGAAAUGUGUUUUCCUACGACCACUUAUGAAAAUGAUAGAUCGCACACUCAUUUUUACAUAAGAAAGUAGCUUAUUUCACAUAUGUACUAAAAAAUAACAAAACAUACAUGUAUUGAAAUGCUUCUUUUCCUUAUGUUAUAUAUGGUCUCGAACUAUAGAGGGAAUACGCGAAUACAAUAUGAAUCUGGCUGGGUGCCCGAAGGCAAAAGGCCAAAUUUAAGAAGACUGAAGAAGUAGACAAUAUAAUUUUUUGAGGUUAUAUUAGUUCUUACGAUCACAAGAAAGUAGCUUAUUUCACACAAUUUUAGUAAAGACAGGAGCAGAUUUUGAUGCAUUAAAACGCCACUUCAUAUUUAACUUUUAUAACGUCUCAAAAAAAAGUAAAACAAAAUUAUUAAUUUAGUUCUUGUUAGGUAUCUAAUAUAGUUACAAAAAAUUUAUUGUUGUAUUGGUUCUUUUUAUGUUCUCUAGUUAUAAAACAUUUCAUAAUAAUUCUUUUCAUUUUUGUCAUCUCUACUAUUACAAAAUAAAAUAUAUUUUUUAGGAUAUUUUAACUCUAAUUAACUUUCUUAUUUAAAAAAUACGUUUUUAUGAAGAAUUUUUUACGUGGUCGUAGGAAAAAUAAUGUAGACAACUCGUUAGAAAGUGUAUUUCGCACUCGCUGCUACGCGGUUCGUGCAAAACAGUAACUUUCCAAACUCGUUUGUGAUAUUGCUGAAAUUAUUAACUAUUAUUUAUUCAUUGUCUCUCACUCUGCAACAUUCCGUAUAAUAAUGGAAUAAAAAACGAGAUUUCAUUGGUGAGAGUUCACUUACUAAAAACAGUUUUAUAACAAAUAUAAGUUGAAUAUUUUGAAUACGUUAUUUUUUGCUUAUAAAUCUAAUAACUGGUAAAACCUCUACACUACUCGCGGAGUUAACCGAAGUUAACCGAAAAAAUUAGCGUAGUGACAGCUUCUUGUAACCUCGCUUAGUUUCUUACAUUGUCAAACUAUGUGCGAAGGACCCGAAGUGAAACGAAGUUCGAACACGAAGCGUGUGAUAGCACAUCUAUCGAUGAUCGUUAGUUUGUGUCAACUGUCAAAUUUUAUUUGUUGCCGUGUCCAAAAUACAAUAUACUCAAUAAUAAAUUGAAUACAAAAUACGAAUACUACAAAACUACUUAUUUGUAACUAUACUUUUUGGUAUAGAUGUAGAGGUACACUAUGAUUGAUUAGAGGAAACUUAUAUAUUGCAGUGGACUGUAACACUUAAUUUUUUAACAUAAAAUUGAUUCUCCGGUACACACCUACUUCGUUGAUCAUUUAUGGUAAACUGAACUUUUAUUUUAAGCGCUGUUGCCGCUUUUACAUACAAUGUUUAAUAUACACCAACAAACCUUCUUAAGCAUUUUUAUAGUCUUCUUUAUUGAGUAAUAAAGUAUAUUUUGUACUUAUUUCUACAUCCAAUAAUGUAAGAAAAUAUUAUUUGAGCAGCCCAGUUCUGAUUUUAUUUCAAAAACAAGAAGGUAAAUCUAAAUAACUGUCUAUUUAACCACGAUAAAGAAUAUGCAUAUAUGUUUUUAUAUUUUUAAUUAACUUUUUACAUAGCAACAAUAACAAAAAAUAUCAAAAUAAUUUUUAAAGUAUCAGUAAAAUUUGGCUUGUAUUGAACGCGGUUAUUUUUCGCGAACUUAGGAUGACGUCCACUAUUUAUUUACCUCAAGAGUGACAGUUCCUUUAUACAAUUUCAGGUUAUGAUAUCGAUAAAAUUUAUGGAAAAAAUGGAGAGUGCUUUCAUUAAAACCUUUUUGUAUAAAUCUUGUUAAAUCGUGAGAUCUGGCAUCCCUGUCUGCAUGACUGAGUUUAUUGCGAGGUAGUACGAGUAUGAGGACACACACUUCCGACUCCGUCCGAGCGAGUAUUGUAGUGGGUGCCUGACAAUUUCGAACCUAACCACAACUAUUUACAACAAAACAGAAGUAGCCUCAAAAUCUUAUUUUGAGAUUAAAACAUGUCAAAAUUUUUAAGUGCUUGAAACAUAAGAUUAUAAUCCUAGAACUUGUAUAGUGUUAAUAAAACCAAACAUGAACCAUAAAUAGAUAAAACCAAACACAAACAAUAAAUAGAUAGGAAGUCGGAUAGUCACUGAAAAAUAUGCCGAAUAACCCUGAUAGCUGAGGUCUUUCCAACAUUAAUAAUAAGAAGAAUAGUCAAACUUUAGUAUUUUCAUAUCAUAUUAGUUCAGCCACCUGGAAGCUUAGAACAUGUAAGUUUUUAGUAUGAUUUGUGAAACAGCAAGAAUUUAGCAAGAUUUAACAGCUUAGUAAUAAGGAUUAUGACAGUUAUUGCAAAUGGGAACAAUGUGUCCAUUUUUGAAGUUUUGUUCAUCAUUUUCACAAGGAAUAACAUCUUAUAAGAAUCCCUAGAUGAUUGUAAUUUUUGUUUUGUUUCGUAAUUGAUAUAAUAAUAACUUUUAGAACCAGAGAAAUCAAUGGAAUCCUUAAGGUAUGUUUUAAGUUAAGAGCAUAUAUUAAACACCAUAUAUGGAGUCAACAUAUUUCGAAAGCCGAAAGAAUGCUGUCAAUUCAUGUAUAUUUAGGAAUACAGACAGAAAGAUUUUUAAUAAUAUGUUGGGGAAACCGAGGAGGGUGAUGACAAAUUUGACACAUACAUAUAUUUUUGUAAUAUGAACAAAACGCGUUUUUUUGCAUAAAAGUACUUUAAUUAUCAUUUAAAAUAAAAGUAAGAAACAAUAACAUGAAGUAUUAGAUAUCAAGAUAACAAACAUUCUGAUCUAAUCUGACAAACAGUUACUUAUGACAGAUGUAUUGCAGGGCAAUCUUCGUGAGAUCAGCCUUUACUUUCCAAGCACUGAACCCACUUCUCAUUUGGUCUGCUAUGGAAUUUAAGGCAGCACAAGCAAUAAUAAGCAUUUUCUUCUGUAUAUUCUGCACUUUUCUUGUUAGUCACCUCCUUGGCUUUCUUCAGUUUCUUAUUUUCUUCAUUUAAAACACGCCUUUUCACACAUUUUAACUUUCUACUGGCUUCUACGGAAGCUAAUAUUUUGUAUGUGUAGUCUUGCUGAUUCUGGUGAGAACUUAUUAGAAGUGGCAAGAGGAGAACGAGCUGUAGACUUGGAGGCAAAGGAUUCUGCAUGUUAAAUGUGGAUUGCUAGAUAUCGCGGCUUGAUCUGUGGGUUUAACUGGAGUAAGGGCUCUUGCUUCAUUUUUUUGAACUGUAGCAAUAGUACGAUUUGGAGUAAAUGGUUUACAUUGACCGUAGUUUCUUGAACAUUUGAUGAUUGUUCUUGUUCUGGAUUGGGCAAACAUUUUAAUGCCAAUAACAUUUAUUUAGCUUAAAACUUCAGAAACGACUGAAUGUAGGCAAAAGUAGUCUUUUAUAUUCGAUUUUUUUUCCAUACAAACGUCGUACUUGGACAACCGCUUGCCUCUGGCGCGUACUGCGUCAAUUAAAUAAACAAUUGCACGGUGUUGCCAGCUCGCUAAUGGUCAUAGGUUUCAACAAAUUGUCUUUGAUACAACUCUUCUCCGUCACAACCCACCUCGGUCUCCCUCUACUAUUUUUGAAAAAAGUACAGUAGUGAUAAUUGUAUUGGAAUAGUCAAAAAGGAACCGCUCAAUCCUGAAAUUGGAUUUACGCCAAUUUUUCUGAAACUUGGGACAAUGACAGUUUGAAGCAAGCUGAUGAAAAGUCUUAAUGAAUAUGAAGAGAUUCUCUUGCUGUGGACGCUGAUAGGAUUCAACCCAAAUGUAAGUGAGACUUUUGAUUGGUUUGUUUCAAAUUAUCAUUAUGCCACGUUUCAGAAAAAAAUUGGUCAGAUCCAUUGAGUCUUUUGAUGUGAAACAACACCUGCUAGGUAUAUCUUGCUAUAUCCAUGUGAACUACACUGAUUAAAAUCAUCUAAAUAAGCUUCUCGAACUGAAUCAACGUCGGACUUAGAUCAUUUUUAUAACAAAAACAUUGCAAGCACACAAACAGCUAACAAGUUGAUAAUUUUUUAAAUUAAAUUUACUAUUAAGUCUUACAUUCAAGAACUAAAAGAAAUGUAGACCAUUUUCAGAUAUCCAUAUUGUAGAUCACAGCUAAUGUGAAGAAUCUCCUUCUUUAAAUAUACUUUUUUUACUUAUUUAAGUGUCGUAUCAAUCACUUAUCUUGUUUCUUAUUGGAAUAAAACGUAAAACAAGAAAAAACUAAUAAUAACAUUCAAAUGGUUAUCAAGUGAAUGACAUGACAAUUUGCUAGUCUCCAUGAAAAGCAACCAGGGAAAUAAUAUAAAAAGUAGAAAAAUUCAUGGCAGGCGAAAAACUAAAAGCAUCAUUUCAAACAUAAUUUGUAAGAGUUUUUUUUUGUCAAUUUACAAUUUUGAGAUUCAAAUGGACUUUUCUAUUCAGUAUCAUUAUUGUCUAUCAUAUUCUCGAUACAUCAAUUCUAAAAUAAAAAAGUGUAAUCAAUUAUUUACCCCAACUGAUUCCAUAUUUAAACAUCUCGCAUCCCAGAAUGCGGUUUCCGAACAGACCAGAUUUUAAUACUACACCAGAUGCUUGAGAAGUGCUUCAAGUACAACAUCGAUACCUUUCACAUUUUCAUCGAUUUUGAGACGACAUAUUCAAGACCAAAAUUCUACCAGGAUAUGAAUGAACUACACCAAAAACUUUAAUUGAAUUCUAGUCGAAAUCUAAGAUCAAUUCGAGAUAACAUUAGUAGAAGACGCGAUGACGUGUCUCCUGUUCAACAUAGCACUGGAAAUAGUAGUUCGAGAUGAGGAACUCGACACCAGAGGUACAUUCUUUAAUAAAUCACCGCAGGUGCUUGUCUACGCUGUCCUAUCUCUAAGCCCUAAGAAAAGCAAAAGGAACUUUUGUAAAUUUUGGGAACGCCGCAGAGAAUAUGGAACUAAAAAUCAAUACGAAUAAGACAACAACAGUAGUAGUGAAGUAGAACAAAACUACAAUAAACACAAGACAACCCAUAAAAGCAUUGAUUCCAAAAGAAGUACACAAUGAAAUAAAAUUACGAAAAAACACCUAAUAACCGACAAAAUUCUGAAAUAAUUGCCUCAAAAAUGUACAUUUACAAUGCAAUUAUGAGAUUCGGAUACUGGCCAAAUGAAGCUAAAGCCAAAUGAAGCUGCACAAAUCAUAUUAAUCGGUAAACCAGGCAAAGACCCAACCAACGUGUCAUCUUACCGUCCAAUAAGCCUUCUACCUAAAAUGUCCAAACUCCUUGUAAAAUCGAAAGAAUGAAGUGCUAGAAAUACGGUUCCAAAUAUUACGAUUGCUAUGUUAUUUUGGACUUGAGCAAAACGAGUCUCUCAAGAAGUAAAAAAAACAAAAAAUAUAAGACGUUAAUUGUACCAGUUUAAAUCCAUAGAUAGCCUGGACUCGAAAAAAAGAAACGAUUGAGUCGUUACUUCUUCGAGAGAAAUAUAGUGAUAAAAAUUUACGGAGCUAUCCAAGGAAAUAUCGUCUGGAGACGUAGGAAUUCUACAACAAUCAAGAUGGGCAGGACAUGUAGAAGGCAUCUACAACAAAAACGAACUUCAAGGUCAUACCAACGGGUAGUAGAGGCACGGGGAGAUCAAGGCUAAGAUGGAGAGACGAGGUCUCUGAAUAUGCUACAAAGAUUGGUGCAGUGAAUUGGAUGGUCCUUGUAAGGCACCGGAGUCCGAGGCUAGAGAAAGUCGAGCCCCACGUGUAGGGCUGUAGUACUACUGGCUCCAUAUUUAUAAUUCCACAGUACUGUCUCCAGUCAGAGGCGUAGAGUGGAUUGUUUUCGUUCCAUUUAUAGGGGAUUUGUGUAUGUUAUGAAAAAGUUACGAAAAAAUAUUUAGAUGACCAAAAUAAACACAUUUUUAAAGAAAGAAUAAGCCACAGGAUUGCAAACAUCCAAAAAUCGCAAAAUAUUUUAUGUCGUUGUUUCUAGAAGCCGAUAACACGAAUAAAUUAGGUCGAAAUGAGUACUAGUUCAUUUAUCAUGAUAAUUUCUCUAAUUUUGUUUAAUAUUUCCCUGUUUUAUUAGAGAAGAAAGCGCAUCUCGGCAAUGUAUCCUGCAGAUGUAUACAUCGGAUUCAUCUAUAAAUGAAAUACUUAGGCCUAAUCUACUUUUCUUAAUAUUUCUAAAUACCCAAUGUAUUUUCUCUGCAGGAACGUGCCUUUUCUUAACAUAGAGCCUUUAUCUGUCCAAUUUUUUUCUCUCUAAAACCACGGUUCUUGGUUUUAUACUCAAAAUAAGUUGGAAUCUUAUUUAUCCUACUUAUGAUUUGUUUAAAAAAAUAAAUUAUUUGGGUUGAAGAUAUUCACUUUAAUAAAUAGAAAAAUAGUAGAUUUUUUUUUGAAAUAUACUGAGCUACGAUUAUCACCAGAUUUGAACGUAACAGGUGACUUUUAAAAAUUAUAGUGCUUACGCAAAACCAGUAGACGUAUAAUGAAUAAAAUAGUUAUGAGAUUAUCUUAAUUUGUAUUUGUGCUAAUAACUUCAAUUUUACAUUCAAAAUUUUAACGUUUUUCUAACCUAUGUAAAUUUUUAAACCCUUUAUAAGCGGUUCAAAAAAUUUUAUAAAAACUGUGUAAUUAUAUAGACAAAGGAUACAUUACAUGGGAAAAGAAGAAUAUCGUUAAAAUUAAGUUACCUAAGAUAACAGUUGAUCUACGUCAAAAUGACGGCCGUGUGGUAAACAAUAGAUUUUUUCGUAGGUACUCGAGUUAGCUUUUAAUGGGUUUUCUAGUAGUGAGUAUGGUGUUUUUUGCUUUAUGGUGUUACAAGGACAUCGUAGAUAAUUUUUAUAUGUGUUUUAGUGCAAUUAAUACAACGGAAACUAAGUUUUCAAAGGGAUAGUCCUGUUCAUUUUCCACCAGUUUCCAAUAUACUUCUUUUUAACCUACACAAAGCACAAUACUGCUUAGGCGAAAAAAGAGAACGAGCAACGUUUCCGGAAAGAAAUUUCGCACUUCUUCAAAUAGCAACUCCUAAAACAAUGAAACCGGGAAUCUAAAAUCCAGCAAAUAACUUCACAAAUCAAACAGAAACUUACGGCAAAAGCAUUUGUUUACCCCACGGCGGCCAUAUUAAAAUGGGCAUUGCAACAGUUCGUUAGAUUGCUCAAUAUGUGACAAAUAUAUUUCAAAGUGAAAUUUUAUAUCAAAAUUAAUCUUAAUAUUGCUUAUACUUUUUUAUUACUAAUAUUUUUCGUUCUGUUUGUAGAUAUGUUUCAAUAUUAUUUUCGAAUGAUAUUGCUAAAAAGUAGGAUAAGUAUGAGAUUCCAACAAAGAAAUAAGUGUGAAGAUAUUUUGAUAAUUAUUUACUGUUUUGCAGGUGAAUUUACCUAAUAUUUGAAUGGUCUCCUAUGAAUUCAAUUUAAGCCGAAUUGUUUUUAACGAAAUUUUAGAUAUGUCUUGUUUUUUUUUUGUUUGUAAUUUUCGUAAAACGUAAAGCAAAGACAAAACCACCUCUAUGUCUUUAACUUUUAGUUUUUUUUUUGAUAUAUUUCACACAAAUUUCUUCGAACUAAACAAAGCGAAAGUAAAUAUUAGCUGUAUUUUUUCAAUUUCUGUAAUUAAUUGUUUAAAGCUAAUAUGUUUACAAUGUGUGCGAGUUUUCUAAUUUCAUUGCAUCAUUUUUAGUACAUUUUCGUUUUUAUAUAAAAUGUAAGUAUUUUUUUUUUUUUUUUGUAUAUACAAUACAAAUUGAUUGGGAGUAUGAUUGGCUGUAGAAAGAUAAAUAUUGUGUCAGGAUUGUGUUCUAUUAUUUAUUUUUAUAACCUGUACCAAAUCUUUUGAGAAUUUAGUACAAGAAUUGUGCAAUUUUGGUUAUUGCAAUGGGGUUUUGGUAUACAAAGCUCCUACUACUUUUUAAAUAGAUUUAUUGUACAAUUGAUAUUUUUGAUCGGGAUAAACAAAUCGUUUUUGAUUUCCAUGUUACAAUAAGGAUGAUCCUUUUUUGCUCACCAGUUGAUGCUAUUGUACAGUAAGGUCCCAUUAGUUGUCGAGAUACUCGUGUGAAAAUAUAUAAUAUUGUUAAGAACAAGUUCGCGAAAUGGUUCCCUAAGCCGGCCCUGUCCAGCUACUAUGGAAUUUUAAAUAUUCGGCGAAUCCGCGCGGCGUUUUUUUUCACAUUUUUUAUAAAUGUUUGAUGUUCAUUUCUAUAUAAUUGUUAUUGUAGCAAGCGGUUUAUUUACAUUAUUUCUUCUGAAUAAUUUCUAGGAAAGUCUAUUCAUUUAUUUCUUUUUGUUCUAGAAGAAUUCUAGUAGAAAUUUAUUUAGGUAUAGAAAUCAGUUGUGUAAAUGCAGUUAGUUCAGUUUUAAAUAAAUUUAAGUGAAUUAUUAUUAAGUUAAGUGUUUUGUAUAGUGUGUAAAUAAAGUAAGAACGCGAGA